Molecule: ribosomal RNA, 468 nt
Filed under: uncultured bacterium
Lineage: Bacteria
Description: partial 16S ribosomal RNA
Rfam family: Bacterial small subunit ribosomal RNA
Source: RNAcentral
GAAGAACGAUGGAGGCGUGCUUAACACAUGCAAGUCGAACGGAAAGGCCCUGCUUUUGUGGGGUGCUCGAGUGGCGAACGGGUGAGUAACACGUGAGUAACCUGCCCUUGACUUUGGGAUAACUUCAGGAAACUGGGGCUAAUACCGGAUAGGAGCUCCUGCUGCAUGGUGGGGGUUGGAAAGUUUCGGCGGUUGGGGAUGGACUCGCGGCUUAUCAGCUUGUUGGUGGGGUAGUGGCUUACCAAGGCUUUGACGGGUAGCCGGCCUGAGAGGGUGACCGGCCACAUUGGGACUGAGAUACGGCCCAGACUCCUACGGGAGGCAGCAGUGGGGAAUAUUGCACAAUGGGCGGAAGCCUGAUGCAGCAACGCCGCGUGCGGGAUGACGGCCUUCGGGUUGUAAACCGCUUUCGCCUGUGACGAAGCGUGAGUGACGGUAAUGGGUAAAGAAGCACCGGCUAACUACGUG